Molecule: ribosomal RNA, 1542 nt
Filed under: marine metagenome
Description: bacterial LSU rRNA
Rfam family: Bacterial large subunit ribosomal RNA
Source: RNAcentral
AGGCGUAGUCGAUGGACAACAGGUUAAUAUUCCUGUACUACCGUUAUUUCGUUAUUAGCGAUGGGGUGACGCAGUAGGAUAGGUCAGCCACUUAUUGGAUUGUGGUUUAAACUUGUAGGUAGGAGAGAUAGGCAAAUCCGUCUUUCCGUUAAUCUGAGAAGUGAAUACGACCUGCUUGCAGGGAAGUGAUUGACUCCACACUGACAAGAAAACCCUCUAGUGAGAAAUAAAGGUAACCGUACUAAAACCGACACAGGUAGGCAGGUAGAGAAUACUAAGGCGCGCGGGAUAACUCUCGUUAAGGAACUCGGCAAAUUAGCCUCGUAACUUCGGGAUAAGAGGUGCCUAUAUAAUGUGAACACCCUGCGGUGGGAGCAUAAAUAGGUUGCAGUGAAAUGGCUCAAGCGACUGUUUAUCAAAAACACAGGUCUCUGCUAAACCGUAAGGUGAUGUAUAGGGGCUGACGCCUGCCCAGUGCUGGAAGGUUAAUGGGAGAUGUCAAUUCCUCGGAAUGAAGCAUUGAACUGAAGCCCCAGUGAACGGCGGCCGUAACUAUAACGGUCCUAAGGUAGCGAAAUUCCUUGUCGGGUAAGUUCCGACCCGCACGAAAGGCGUAACGAAUUGAGCACUGUCUCAACGAGAGACCCGGUGAAAUUGAAAUAUCCGUGAAGAUGCGGAUUACCCAUAGCAAGACAGAAAGACCCCGUGGAGCUUUACUGUAGCUUGGCUUUGUUUUUUGGACUAAUUUGUGCAGGAUAGGUGGGAGACUUUGAUGCAUAGUCGUCAGACUAUGUUGAGUCGUCCUUGAGAUACCACCCUGAUUAUUUUGAAAAACUAACUUAUAUCCGUUAUCCGGAUAAAGGACAUAGUCUGGGUAUGCAGUUUGACUGGGGGCGGUCGCCUCCUAAAGAGUAACGGAGGCGCUCAAAGGUUCCCUCAGGACGGUCGGAAAUCGUCUGUAGAGUGUAAGGGCAUAAGGGAGCUUAACUGCGAGACUUACAAGUCGAGCAGAGACGAAAGUCGGACCUAGUGAUCCGGUGACGCCGUAUGGAAGGGUCAUCGCUCAACGGAUAAAAGUUACCCCGGGGAUAACAGGCUUAUCUCCCCCAAGAGUCCACAUCGACGGGGAGGUUUGGCACCUCGAUGUCGGCUCGUCGCAUCCUGGAGCUGUAGUAGGUUCCAAGGGUUGGGCUGUUCGCCCAUUAAAGCGGUACGUGAGCUGGGUUCAGAACGUCGUGAGACAGUUUGGUCCAUAUCUGCUAUGGGCGUAGGAAAUUUGAAAGGAUCUGUUCCUAGUACGAGAGGACCGGAAUGGACGUACCUCUGGUGUACCAGUUAUUCUGCCAAGAGUAAACGCUGGGUAGCUACGUACGGUCGGGAUAACCGCUGAAAGCAUCUAAGUGGGAAACCCACCUUAAGAUAAGAUUUCCCAUCCCCUUGUGGGAGUAAAACCCCUCAGAGAUAAUGAGGUUGAUAGGCUAGGUGUGUAAGCAUAGUAAUAUGUUCAGCUGACUAGUACUAAUUGGUUGAGGUCUUAACAGG